GGUGAGGUGGCCGAGAGGGUGAAGGCGCUCCCCUGCUAAGGGAGUAUGCGGUCAAAAGCUGCAUCCGGGGUUCGAAUCCCCGCCUCACCGCCA
This 93-nucleotide transfer RNA is filed under the name Escherichia coli. RNAcentral describes it as "tRNA-Ser". It matches the Rfam family "tRNA". From Rfam's summary of the family: Transfer RNA (tRNA) molecules are approximately 80 nucleotides in length. Their secondary structure includes four short double-helical elements and three loops (D, anti-codon, and T loops). Further hydrogen bonds mediate the characteristic L-shaped molecular structure. tRNAs have two regions of fundamental functional importance: the anti-codon, which is responsible for specific mRNA codon recognition, and the 3' end, to which the tRNAs corresponding amino acid is attached (by aminoacyl-tRNA synthetases). tRNAs cope with the degeneracy of the genetic code in two manners: having more than one tRNA (with a specific anti-codon) for a particular amino acid; and 'wobble' base-pairing, i.e. permitting non-standard base-pairing at the 3rd anti-codon position. The record is from RNAcentral. Lineage: Bacteria; Pseudomonadati; Pseudomonadota; Gammaproteobacteria; Enterobacterales; Enterobacteriaceae.